Molecule: ribosomal RNA, 251 nt
Filed under: uncultured bacterium
Lineage: Bacteria
Description: partial 16S ribosomal RNA
Rfam family: Bacterial small subunit ribosomal RNA
Source: RNAcentral
UACGGAGGGGCUAGCGUUGUUCGGAAUUACUGGGCGUAAAGCGUACGUAGGCGGCUUUGUAAGUUAGAGGUGAAAGCCCAGAGCUCAACUCUGGAAUUGCCUUUAAGACUGCAUCGCUUGAAUCGUGGAGAGGUUAGUGGAAUUCCGAGUGUAGAGGUGAAAUUCGUAGAUAUUCGGAAGAACACCAGUGGCGAAGGCGACUACCUGGACAAUUGCUGACGCUCAGGCACGAAAGCGUGGGAGCAAAAGGG